RNAcentral lists this ribosomal RNA (253 nucleotides) under uncultured bacterium. RNAcentral describes it as "partial 16S ribosomal RNA". It matches the Rfam family "Bacterial small subunit ribosomal RNA", at positions 524 to 776 of the family's 1533-position model. The record is from RNAcentral.
UACGGGGGGGGCAAGCGUUGUUCGGAAUUACUGGGCGUAAAGGGCUCGUAGGCGGCCAACUAAGUCAGACGUGAAAUCCCCAGGCUCAACCUGGGAACUGCGUCUGAUACUGGAUGGCUUGAAUCCGGGAGAGGGAUGCAGAAUUCCAGGUGUAGCGGUGAAAUGCGUAGAUAUCUGGAGGAAUACCGGUGGCGAAGGCGGCAUCCUGGGCCAACACUGACGCUCAUGCACGAAAGCGUGGGGAGCAAACAGG